Molecule: ribosomal RNA, 253 nt
Filed under: uncultured bacterium
Lineage: Bacteria
Description: partial 16S ribosomal RNA
Rfam family: Bacterial small subunit ribosomal RNA
Source: RNAcentral
UACGUAGGGUGCAAGCGUUAAUCGGAAUUACUGGGCGUAAAGCGUGCGCAGGCGGUUUUGUAAGACAGAUGUGAAAUCCCCCGGCUUAACCUGGGAACUGCGUCUGAUACUGGAAGGCUUGAGUGCGGGAGAGGGAUGUGGAAUUCCAGGUGUAGCGGUGAAAUGCGUAGAUAUCUGGAGGAACACCGGUGGCGAAGGCGGCAUCCUGGACCGACACUGACGCUGAGGCGCGAAAGCUAGGGUAGCAAACGGG